Molecule: ribosomal RNA, 164 nt
Filed under: Pentagonia macrophylla
Lineage: Eukaryota; Viridiplantae; Streptophyta; Magnoliopsida; Gentianales; Rubiaceae
Also listed under: 1 other name
Description: 5.8S ribosomal RNA
Rfam family: 5.8S ribosomal RNA
About the family: 5.8S ribosomal RNA (5.8S rRNA) is a component of the large subunit of the eukaryotic ribosome. It is transcribed by RNA polymerase I as part of the 45S precursor that also contains 18S and 28S rRNA.
Source: RNAcentral
AAAACGACUCUCGGCAACGGAUAUCUCGGCUCUCGCAUCGAUGAAGAACGUAGCGAAAUGCGAUACUUGGUGUGAAUUGCAGAAUCCCGUGAACCAUCGAGUCUUUGAACGCAAGUUGCGCCCGAAGCCAUUAGGCAGAGGGCACGCCUGCCUGGGCGUCACGC